UGCCAGCAGCCGCGGUAAUACGGAGGGUGCGAGCGUUAAUCGGAAUUACUGGGCGUAAAGCGCGCGUAGGCGGUUAAUUAGGUCAGAUGUGAAAUCCCAGGGCCCAACCCUGGAACUGCCUUUAAAACUGUUAGUCUUGAGAUCGAGAGAGGUGAGUGGAAUUCCAAGUGUAGAGGUGAAAUUCGUAGAUAUUUGGAGGAACACCAGUGGCGAAGGCGGCUCACUGGCUCGAUACUGACGCUGAGGUACGAAAGUGUGGGGAGCAAACAGGAUUAGAUA
Molecule: ribosomal RNA, 279 nt
Filed under: uncultured bacterium
Lineage: Bacteria
Description: partial 16S ribosomal RNA
Rfam family: Bacterial small subunit ribosomal RNA
Source: RNAcentral